UGAGAUCUUUGUUAUCGGAGGCGAAAGCCAAUCCUCCCCUGUAAUGCACCGUCCAUGUGAGCACAAGAGCCGUGACUACCAACCCCAGCAACCUGACUACAGCGAAGAUUGGGAAUUUGAUCACCGGAACUCCCAUUGUUUUGACUCUAAUUGUAAUUGCAGGUAGAAAAGGGAAAAAGGGCGAAGACAAAGAAAGAGAGAGGAAUAUGUAGAUUUUGUAAUUAGGGUUUUUGAGUUGAAUUGGGUAUUGGAUCCGUGCUUUGCUUUGUUUGCUGGCAGAUCAUAGAAGGACGUUUCGAACCAGUUUCGAACCAUUUUCAAAAUUUUCAACUUAGUGCCAGGUGAGUUCCUCGGUCCCACUCGGACCAUUCACAGUUCUCCGAUCCACGUUUGCUUCGCUGCGUUUCGAUCAUAGGGAAAUUCAUUUUUUCGGUAACACGCCUUCGAUCACUAAGGCUGCGUAAAUUUG
This 469-nucleotide unclassified non-coding RNA is filed under the name Hevea brasiliensis (rubber tree). Lineage: Eukaryota; Viridiplantae; Streptophyta; Magnoliopsida; Malpighiales; Euphorbiaceae. The record is from RNAcentral.